Molecule: ribosomal RNA, 487 nt
Filed under: Treponema sp. oral taxon 271
Lineage: Bacteria; Pseudomonadati; Spirochaetota; Spirochaetia; Treponematales; Treponemataceae
Description: bacterial SSU rRNA
Rfam family: Bacterial small subunit ribosomal RNA
Source: RNAcentral
AACGAACGCUGGCGGCGCGUCUUAAGCAUGCAAGUCGAACGGCAAGGAAGUGCUUGCACUUCCCUAGAGUGGCGGACUGGUGAGUAACACGUGGGUAACAUGCCUUUUAGUUGGGGAUAGCUACUAGAAAUAGUAGAUAAUACCGAAUACGAUUUUACAGGGUAAGGCUGUAAAAGGAAAGGAGCUACGGCUCUGCUGAAAGAUUGGCUCGCGGCCCAUUAGCUAGUUGGUGAGGUAAAUGCUUACCAAGGCAAUGAUGGGUAUCCGGCCUGAGAGGGUGAACGGACACAUUGGGACUGAGAUACGGCCCAGACUCCUACGGGAGGCAGCAGCUAAGAAUAUUCCGCAAUGGAGGGAACUCUGACGGAGCGACGCCGCGUGGAUGAAGAAGGUCGAAAGAUUGUAAAGUUCUUUUGAGAUGGAAGAAAAAGUAUUGCAGGGAAUGGCAGUAUGGUGACAGUACAUUUUGAAUACGAGGCGGCUAAUU